AACUUUCAACAACGGAUCUCUUGGCUCUCGCAUCGAUGAAGAACGCAGCGAAAUGCGAUAAGUAAUGUGAAUUGCAGAAUUCAGUGAAUCAUCGAAUCUUUGAACGCACCUUGCGCUCCUUGGUAUUCCGAGGAGCAUGCCUGUUUGAGUGUCAUA
This 156-nucleotide ribosomal RNA is filed under the name Tricholoma equestre. RNAcentral describes it as "5.8S ribosomal RNA". It matches the Rfam family "5.8S ribosomal RNA". Rfam says of the family: 5.8S ribosomal RNA (5.8S rRNA) is a component of the large subunit of the eukaryotic ribosome. It is transcribed by RNA polymerase I as part of the 45S precursor that also contains 18S and 28S rRNA. Functionally, it is thought that 5.8S rRNA may be involved in ribosome translocation. Lineage: Eukaryota; Fungi; Basidiomycota; Agaricomycetes; Agaricales; Tricholomataceae. The record is from RNAcentral.